This 296-nucleotide long non-coding RNA is filed under the name Homo sapiens (human). Its description in RNAcentral is "HSALNT0404288". Lineage: Eukaryota; Metazoa; Chordata; Mammalia; Primates; Hominidae. The record is from RNAcentral.
UUAAACUAAACUCUUGAAGUAAAUAAAUAAUCUUUGCUGGCAGGACUAUGCUGAAUCUCUUUAGGCACUCUCUAAUCAGAUGUCCUAGGUCCUCCCAAUUCUUAGACCUUUUAUACCUGUUUUUCUCCUUCUCUUAUUCCAUUUAGUUUUUCAAUUCAUACAAGACCGUAUCCAGGCCAUCACCAAUCAUUCUAUACGACAUAUGUUUCUCCUAACAACCCCACAAUAUCACCCCUUACCACAAGACCUCCCUUCAGCUUAAUCUCUCCCACUCUAGGUUCCCACACCACCCCUAA